This 423-nucleotide ribosomal RNA is filed under the name Triticum aestivum (bread wheat). RNAcentral describes it as "partial small subunit ribosomal RNA". The record is from RNAcentral. Lineage: Eukaryota; Viridiplantae; Streptophyta; Magnoliopsida; Poales; Poaceae.
AUGAUCGUCGCCGCGCUGGUGGAGAUGAAGAGGCUCGGGAUAGCAGCAGAUCAUGGCAUCCUGGAUGAGCCUGAUGCCGUUGUUCCUAUGAGCUUGCUGUGGGUGGUUCCCCAGUUCCUCCUGGCAGGCUUGACCAGCGUGUUUGCGUAUGUUGGCCUGCUGGAGUUCUUCUACGACCAGGUGCCGGACUCCCUCCGGAGCCUGGGCGUAGCUCUGUGCAUCAGUAGCUUCCUUGUGUACGCCAUUGACAGGGUGACCAGCAGCAAUGGGGGGAGCUGGUUCUCCAACAACCUCAACAGGGGCCAUCUUGAUUACUUCUUCUGGUUUCUGGCUGCCCUCGGUGCCUUGGCCUUCUCUGCUUACCUGCACUUUGCAAAGGCUUAUGUCGAAAAGAAAAAAGAUUAUUCAGUUUUGGUACAAUGA